AUACGGAGGGUGGAAGCGUUACUCGGAAUCACUGGGCGUAAAGCGCGCGCAGGCGGCUAUUUAAGUUGGAUGUGAAAGCCUACGGCUCAACCGUAGAACUGCAUCCAAAACUAUUUAGCUAGAGUGUGGGAGAGGAAGAUGGAAUUAGUUGUGUAGGGGUAAAAUCCGUAGAGAUAACUAGGAAUACCAAAAGCGAAGGCAAUCUUCUGGAACACUACUGACGCUGAGGCGCGAAAGCGUGGGGAGCAAACAGGAUUAGAAACCCUAGUAGUCC
RNAcentral lists this ribosomal RNA (274 nucleotides) under uncultured bacterium. Its description in RNAcentral is "partial 16S ribosomal RNA". It matches the Rfam family "Bacterial small subunit ribosomal RNA", at positions 523 to 796 of the family's 1533-position model. The record is from RNAcentral.